CAGCAGCCACGGGAAAACGUAGGUGGCGAGCGUUGUCCGGAAUUAUUGGGCGUAAAGGGCGCGUAGGCGGACUGAUAAGUCAGGGGUGAAAUCCCAAGGCUCAACCUUGGAACUGCCUUUGAUACUGUUUGUCUUGAAUUCGAGAGAGGUAAGUGGAACUGCGAGUGUAGAGGUGAAAUUCGUAGAUAUUCGCAAGAACACCAGUGGCGAAGGCGGCUUACUGGCUCGAAACUGACGCUGAGGCGCGAAAGCGUGGGGAGCGAACAGGAUUAGAGACCCCCGUAGUCCCUGUCUCUUAUAC
RNAcentral lists this ribosomal RNA (301 nucleotides) under uncultured bacterium. Its description in RNAcentral is "partial 16S ribosomal RNA". It matches the Rfam family "Bacterial small subunit ribosomal RNA", at positions 509 to 807 of the family's 1533-position model. The record is from RNAcentral.